UAUGAACGAAUGUAUUAAUGAGUACCGAGACGAGCCAACAUAUUCGCGGGAAGGAAACAUUGCCACCCUCAUCAAUGAUCUAGACGUAUUAACAUAUGUUUGCACACUGCCAGGAGCAUCAAGUUGAAUGUAUUCUCGAUGACAUCGACGGAUCUGUAGAAUGUAAUUUCGUAAGAUAAAAAAUACGGUCUCUAAGAUCGUCACCCUGCUAACUCAGUCACCCCAUGUCGACAACAAUUUAACAUUGAGUAAUCGCGCUUUGAGGAUCUCCAUCUGCGCGCAUAUGUGAAAGAUGACUAUCCCCAUGAAAUUGUCAGUCGCGGUGUAGGAGAAC
This is a long non-coding RNA of Ooceraea biroi (clonal raider ant), 334 nucleotides long. RefSeq lists it as uncharacterized. NCBI's taxonomy places the organism in Eukaryota, Metazoa, Arthropoda, Insecta, Hymenoptera, Formicidae. The record is from RefSeq and is a predicted model, not a curated record.